UCCUACGGGGGGCAGCAGUAGGGAAUUUUCGUCAAUGGGCGCAAGCCUGAACGAGCGAUGCCGCGUGAGUGAAGAAGGCCUUCGGGUCGUAAAGCUCUGUUGCGGGGGAAAAAAGGCAGCAUCAGGAAAUGGGUGCUGACUGAUGGUGCCCCGCCAGAAAGUCACGGCUAACUAUGUGCCAGCAGCCGCGGUAAUACAUAGGGAGCGAGCGUUAUCCGGAUUUAUUGGGUGUAAAGGGUGCGUAGACGGGAAUACAAGUUGGUUGUGAAAGCCCUCGGCUUAACUGAGGAACUGCAACCAAAACU
This 305-nucleotide ribosomal RNA is filed under the name uncultured bacterium. Its description in RNAcentral is "bacterial SSU rRNA". It matches the Rfam family "Bacterial small subunit ribosomal RNA", at positions 337 to 634 of the family's 1533-position model. The record is from RNAcentral.